AGUGAACGCUGGCGGUAGGCCUAACACAUGCAAGUCGAACGGCAGCACAGUAAGAGCUUGCUCUUACGGGUGGCGAGUGGCGGACGGGUGAGGAAUACAUCGGAAUCUACUUUUUCGUGGGGGAUAACGUAGGGAAACUUACGCUAAUACCGCAUACGACCUACGGGUGAAAGCAGGGGAUCUUCUGACCUUGCGCGAUUGAAUGAGCCGAUGUCGGAUUAGCUAGUUGGCGGGGUAAAGGCCCACCAAGGCGACGAUCCGUAGCUGGUCUGAGAGGAUGAUAAGCCACACUGGAACUGAGACACGGUCAAGACGCCUAAGGGAGGCAGCAGUGGGGAAUAUUGGACAAUGGGCGCAAGCAUGAUCCAGCCAUACCGCGUGGGUGAAGAAGGCCUUCGGGUUGUAAAGCCCUUUUGUUGGGAAAGAAAAGCAGCAGGUUAAUACCACGCUGUUCUGACGGUACCGAAAGAAUAAGCACCGGCUAACUUCGUG
RNAcentral lists this ribosomal RNA (492 nucleotides) under uncultured bacterium. Its description in RNAcentral is "partial 16S ribosomal RNA". It matches the Rfam family "Bacterial small subunit ribosomal RNA", at positions 29 to 507 of the family's 1533-position model. The record is from RNAcentral.